AGUGUCCAGCUGGCCUGUUUUGGAUGUGUCCUGUUGGGUCUUGGUGGGGGUUGAGCUGUGGGCUGGUGGUGUGGGCGCCUCUUCUGUGUCUUGGGUUCUGCUCUCUUCAUCCCAUAUGGCUGGGGUAUCGUCCACAUAUCGUGUGUGCAGGCUAGUGAAUGCUUGGGGGUUUCUGGGGUCAUCCUCUCUGUCUGCCUUGGUGGUGUUUCUGUUGGGGUGCCUGCCAUUGGGCUUCUGAUCACGACUCUUCGUGGUUGUUUGGGGAAUUUCCCUUUGUACGAGAGGUGGGAUUCACAGCAGACUGGGUGGGUGGGUUCUCUUGGGAGCUCUGCAUCCAUGCACUGUGUAGGCGCGUUUUCUGGUAGGAGC
This 369-nucleotide long non-coding RNA is filed under the name Androctonus crassicauda. The record is from RNAcentral. Lineage: Eukaryota; Metazoa; Arthropoda; Arachnida; Scorpiones; Buthidae.